Molecule: ribosomal RNA, 320 nt
Filed under: uncultured eukaryote
Lineage: Eukaryota
Description: partial 18S ribosomal RNA
Rfam family: Eukaryotic small subunit ribosomal RNA
Source: RNAcentral
CCCCUAGAUGUUCUGGGCCGCACGCGCGCUACACUGAACAGUUCAACAAGUCUUAACCUUGGCCGAUAGGUCUGGGUAAUCUUUGAACGCUGUUCGUGAUUGGGAUAGACCUUUGCAAUUAUGGGUCUUCAACGAGGAAUUCCUAGUAAACGCAAGUCAUCAGCUUGCAUUGAUUACGUCCCUGCCCUUUGUACACACCGCCCGUCGCACCUACCGAUUGAAUGGUCCGGUGAAAUCUCGGGACGGCGGCUUGGUCGCUUGCGUCCGACUGCUGAAACUUGAUUAAACCAUAUCAUUUAGAGGAAGGUGCAGCCGUAACA